RNAcentral lists this ribosomal RNA (319 nucleotides) under uncultured bacterium. RNAcentral describes it as "bacterial SSU rRNA". It matches the Rfam family "Bacterial small subunit ribosomal RNA", at positions 470 to 789 of the family's 1533-position model. The record is from RNAcentral.
UGCAUGUACCGCAUGAAUAAGGAUCGGCUAAUUCCGUGCCAGCAGCCGCGGUAAUACGGAAGAUCCGAGCGUUAUCCGGAUUUAUUGGGUUUAAAGGGAGCGUAGGCGGGCGUUUAAGUCAGUGGUCAAAGCGUGUGGCUCAACCAUACCACGCCAUUGAUACUGGAUGCCUUGAGUGCACAUAAGGAUGGUGGAAUUCAUGGUGUAGCGGUGAAAUGCUUAGAUAUCAUGAAGAACUCCGAUUGCGAAGGCAGCUGUCCGGGGUGUAACUGACGCUAAUGCUCGAAAGUGCGGGUAUCAAACAGGAUUAGAUACCCUG